RNAcentral lists this long non-coding RNA (32511 nucleotides) under Hordeum vulgare. RNAcentral's name for it is "long non-coding RNA (HVUL_LNC005259)". The record is from RNAcentral. Lineage: Eukaryota; Viridiplantae; Streptophyta; Magnoliopsida; Poales; Poaceae.
UUCCUCCCACUCAAUUCUCUCGAGAGAAACUCCUUCUCGAGAAAAGCUCCGUUUUUAGCAACAAACACUUUGCCCUCGGAUUUGACAUAGAAGGUGUACCCAACUGUCUCUUUUGGGUAACCUAUGAAGACGCACUUUUCCGCUUUGGGUUCCAGCUUUUCAGGCUGAAGCUUUUUGACAUAAGCAUCACAUCCCCAAACUUUAAGAAACGACAACUUUGGCCUUCUGCCAUACCACAGUUCGUAUGGUGUCGUCUCAACGGAUUUUGAUGGUGCCCUAUUUAAAGUGAAUGCAGUUGUUUCUAAUGCAUAACCCCAAAACGAUAACGGCAAAUCAGUAAGAGACAUCAUAGAUCGCACCAUCUCUAAUAGAGUACGAUUACGACGUUCGGACACACCAUUACGCUGUGGUGUUCCAGGCGGUGUUAACUGUGAAACAAUUCCACAUUGUCUUAAGUGAGUACCAAACUCGAAACUCAGAUAUUCACCCCCACGAUCAGACCGUAGGAACUUGAUCUUCUUGUUACGAUGAUUUUCCACUUCACUCUGAAAUUGCUUGAACUUUUCAAAUGUUUCAGACUUGUGCUUCAUCAAGUAGACAUAACCAUAUCUACUUAAAUCGUCAGUGAAGGUGAGAAAAUAACGAUAUCCGCCGCGUGCCUCCACGCUCAUUGGACCACACACAUCGGUAUGUAUGAUUUCCAACAAGUCACUUGCACGCUCCAUUGUUCCGGAGAACGGAGUCUUAGUCAUCUUGCCCAUGAGGCAUGGUUCGCACGUGUCAAGUGAAUCAAAGUCAAGUGACUCCAAAAGUCUAUCAGCAUGGAGUUUCUUCAUGCGCUUUACACCAAUAUGACCCAAGCGGCAGUGCCACAAAAAUAUGGCGCUAUCAUUGUUUACUCUAACUCUUUUGGUCUCAAUGUUAAGUAUAUGUGUAUCGCUAUCAAGAUUCAAUAUGAACAAUCCUCUCACAUUCGGUGCAUGACCAUAAAAGAUGUUACUCAUAGAAAUAGAACAACCAUUAUUCUCAGACUUAAAAGAGUAACCGUCUCGCAAUAAACAAGAUCCAGAUAUAAUGUUCAUGCUCAACGCAGGCACUAAAUAACAAUGAUUUAAGUUCAUCACUAAUCCCGAUGGUAGUUGAAGUGACACUGUGCCGACGGCGAUUGCAUCAACCUUGGAACCAUUUCCUACGCGCAUCGUCACUUCGUCUUUCGCCAGCCUUCGUCUAUUCCGCAGUUCCUGCUUCGAGUUGCAAAUGUGAGCAACAUAACCGGUAUCAAAUACCCAGGCACUACUACGAGAGCCGGUUAAGUACACAUCAAUAACAUGUAUAUCAAAUAUACCUGAUUUUUCUUUGCCCGCCUUCUUAUCUGCCAGAUACUUGGGGCAAUUGCGCUUCCAGUGACCCAUACCCUUGCAAUGGAAGCACUCUGUUUCAGGCUUAGGUCCAGCUUUGGGCUUCUUCGGCGGAUUGGCAACAGGCUUGCCGCUCUUCUUCGAAUUGCCCUUCUUUCCUUUGCCGUUUCUCUUGAAACUAGUGGUCUUGCUCACCAUCAACACUUGAUGCUCUUUACGGAGUUCAGACUCUGCGACUUUCAGCAUCGCAAACAACUCGCCGGGAGACUUGUUCAUCCCUUGCAUGUUGUAGUUCAACACAAAGCCUUUAUAGCUUGGCGGUAGUGAUUGAAGGAUUCUGUCAGUGAUAGCUUCUUGCGGGAGUUCAAUCCCCAGUUCAGCAAGACGGUUUGAGUACCCAGACAUUUUGAGCACAUGUUCACUGACAGACGAGUUUUCCUCCAUCUUGCAAGCAUAGAAUUUAUCGGAGGUCUCAUACCUCUCGAUCCGGGCGUUCUUCUGAAAGAUAAACUUCAACUCCUGGAACAUCUCAAAUGCUCUAUGACGCUCAAAGCGACGUUGAAGUCCCGGUUCUAAGCCAUACAAGACUGCACAUUGAACUAUUGAGUAGUCCUCCUUACGCGCUAACCAAGCGUUCUUAACAUCCUGAUCAGCCGUAGCGGGUGGUUCAUCUCCUAGCGCAGCAUUAAGGACAUAAUCCUUCUUUCCAGCUUGUAAGAUUAGCUUAAGAUUACGAGCCCAGUCUACAAAGUUGCUUCCAUCAUCUUUCAACUUAGCUUUCUCUAGGAACGUAUUAAAAUUCAGGAUGACACUUGCGUGAGCCAUGAUCUACAACAAGUAUAUAUUCAAAGUGGACUUAGACUAUGUUCAAGAUAAUUAGAGUUCAACUUAAUCAAAUUAUAUGCUAAACUCCCACUCAAAAAGUACAUCUCUCUAGUCAUUUGAGUGGUUCAUGAUCCACUUACACUAUCCCAAGUCCGAUCAUCACGUGAGUUGAGUAUAGUUUCAGUGGUAAGCAUCCCUAUGCUAAUCAUAUCAACUAUAUGAUUCAUGAUCGACCUUUUGGUCUCAUGUGUUCCGAGGCCAUGUCUGCACAUGCUAGGCUUAUCAAGCUUAACCCGAGUGUUCCGCGUGCGCAACUGUUUUGCACCCGUUGUAUGUGAACGUUGAGUCUAUCACACCCGAUCAUCACGUGGUGUCUCGAAACGACGAACUGUAGCAACGGUGCACAGUCGGGGAGAACACAAUUUCGUCUUGAAAUUUUAGUGAGAGAUCACCUCAUAAUGCUACCGUCGUUCUAAGCAAAAUAAGGUGCAUAAAAGGAUUAACAUCACAUGCAAUUCAUAAGUGACAUGAUAUGGCCAUCAUCACGUGCUUCUUGAUCUCCAUCACCAAAGCACCGGCACGAUCUUCUUGUCACCGGCGCCACACCAUGAUCAUCCAUCAACGUGUUGCCAUCGGGGUUGUCGUGCUACUUAUGCUAUUACUACUAAAGCUACAUCCUAGCAAAAUAGUAAACGCAUCUGCAAGCACAUAUGUUAGUAUAAAGACAACCCUAUGGCUCCUGCCGGUUGCCGUACCAUCGACGUGCAAGUCGAUAUUUCUAUUACAACAUGAUCAUCUCAUACAUCCAAUAUAUCACAUCACAUCGUUGGCCAUAUCACAUCACAUUCAUACCCUGCAAAAACAAGUUAGACGUCCUCUAAUUUUGUUGUUGCAUGUUUUACGUGGUGACCAAGGGUAUCUAGUAGGAUCACAUCUUACUUACGCAAACACCACAACGGAGAUAUAUGAGUUGCUAUUUAACCUCAUCCAAGGACCUCCUCGGUCAAAUCCGAUUCAACUAAAGUUGGAGAAACCAUCACUUGCCAGUCAUCUUUGAGCAAAGGGGGAUACUCGUAACGAUGAAACCAGUCUCUCGUAAGCGUACGAGUAAUGUCGGUCCAAGCCGCUUCAAUCCAACAAUACCGCAGAAUCAAGAAAAGACUAAGGAGGGCAGCAAAACGCACAUCACCACCCACAAAACCUUUUGUGUUCUACUCGAGAAGACAUCUACGCAUGAACCUAGCUCAUGAUGCCACUGUUGGGGAACGUCGCAUGGGAAACAAAAAUUUUCCUACGCGCACGAAGACCUAUCAUGGUGAUGUCCAUCUACGAGAGGGGAUGAGUGAUCUACGUACCCUUGUAGAUCGUACAGCAGAAGCGUUAGAGAACGCGGUUGAUGUAGUGGAACGUCCUCACGUCCCUCGAUCCGCCCCGCGAACAAUCCCGCGAUCAGUCCCACGAUCUAGUACCGAACGGACGGCACCUCCGCGUUCAGCACACGUACAGCUCGACGAUGAUCUCGGCAUUCUUGAUCCAGCAAGAGAGACGGAGAGGUAGAAGAGUUCUCCGGCAGCGUGACGGCGCUCCGGAGGUUGGUGAUAAUCUCGUCUCAGCAGGGCUCCGCCCGAGCUCCGCAGAAACGCGAUCUAGAGGAAAAACUAUGGAGGUAUGUGGUCGGGCAGCCGUGAGAAAGUCGUCUCAAAUCUGCCCUAAAAGCCCCAUAUAUAUAGGAGGAGGGAGGGGGACCUUGCCUUGGGGUCCAAGGGACUCCCAAGGGGUCGGCCGAGCCAAGGGGGGAGGACUCCCCCCCAAACCGAGUUGGACUUGGUUUGGUGGGAGGAGUCCCCCUCCCUUCCCACUUCUUCCCUCCUUUUUUCCUUUCUUUUCCUUUGAUUUCUUUCUCUUGGCGCAUAGGCCCCCUUGGGGCUGUCCCACCAGCCCACUAAGGGCUGGUGUGUCUCCCCAAAGCCUAUGGGCUUCCCCGGGGUGGGUUGCCCCCCCGGUGAACUCCCGGAACCCAUUCGUCAUUCCCGGUACAUUCCCGGUAACUCCGAAAACCUUCCGGUAAUCAAAUGAGGUCAUCCUAUAUAUCAAUCUUCGUUUCCGGACUAUUCCGGAAACCCUCGUGACGUCCGUGAUCUCAUCCGGGACUCCGAACAACAUUCGGUAACCAACCAUAUAACUCAAAUACGCAUAAANNNNNNNNNNNNNNNNNNNNNNNNNNNNNNNNNNNNNNNNNNNNNNNNNNNNNNNNNNNNNNNNNNNNNNNNNNNNNNNNNNNNNNNNNNNNNNNNNNNNUCCCACUUGCACUAGAGUCAAUAAUCUAGCCCUCACAUCAUCAUGUGAAUUACAUUGUAAUAAAUCUAACACCCAUACAGUUCUGGUGUUGAUCAUGCUUUGGCCGUGGAAGAGGUUUAGUCAGCGGGUCUGCUACAUUCAGAUCCGUGUGCACUUUGCAUAUAUUUACGUCCUCUCCCUCGACGUAAUCGCGGAUGAGGUUGAAGCGUCGUUUGAUGUGUCUGGUCUUCUUGUGAAACCGUGGUUCCUUUGCUAAGGCAAUGGCACCCGUGUUGUCACAGAACAAGGUUAUUGGAUUCAGUGCGCUUGGCACCACUCCAAGAUCCGUCAUGAACUGCUUCAUCCAGACACCCUCCUUAGCCGCCUCCGAGGCAGCCAUGUACUCCGCUUCACAUGUAGAAUCUGCUACGACGCUUUGCUUGGAACUGCACCAGCUUACCGCACCCCCAUUCAGAAUAAAUACAUAUCCGGUUUGCGACUUAGAGUCGUCCGGAUCUGUGUCAAAGCUUGCAUCGACGUAACCUUUUAUGACGAGCUCUUCGUCACCUCCAUACACGAGAAACAUCUCCUUAGUCCUUUUCAGGUACUUCAGGAUAUUCUUGACCGUUGUCCAAUGAUCCACUCCUGGAUUACUCUGGAACCUACCUGCCAUACUUAUGGCCAGGCUAACAUCCGGUCUAGUGCACAGCAUUGCAUACAUGAUAGAACCUAUGGCUGAAGCAUAGGGGACGGUGCGCAUAUGCUCUCUAUCUUCAUCAGUUGUUGGGCACUAAGUCUUACUCAAUCUCGUACCUUGUAAAACUGGCAAGAACCCUUUCUUGGACUGUUCCAUUUUGAACCUCUUCAAAACUUUAUCAAGGUAUGUGCUUUGUGAAAGUCCUAUCAGGCGUUUUGAUCUAUCCCUAUAAAUCUUAAUGCCUAGAAUGUAAGCAGCUUCUCCUAGGUCCUUUAUAGAGAAACUCUUAUUCAAGUAAUCCUUUAUGCUCUCCAAAAACUCUACGUUGUUUCCAAUCAGUAAUAUGUCAUCCACAUAUAAUAUUAGAAACGCCACAGAGCUCCCAUUCACUUUCUUGUAAAUACAAGAUUCUCCAACCACUUGUAUAAACCCAAAUGCUUUGAUCACCUCAUCAAAGUGUUUGUUCCAACUCCGAGAUGCUUGCACCAGUCCAUAAAUGGAUCGCUGGAGCUUGCACACCUUGUUAUCAUUCUUAGGAUCGACAAAACCUUCGGGUUGUAUCAUAUACAACUCUUCCUUAAGGAAACCGUUAAGGAAUGCCGUUUUGACAUCCAUCUGCCAGAUUUCAUAAUCGAAAAAUGCAGCUAUUGCUAACAUGAUUCUGACGGACUUAAGCAUCGCUACGGGUGAGAAUGUCUCAUCGUAGUCAACUCCUUGAACUUGUGAAAAACCCUUUGCCACAAGUCGAGCUUUAUAAACGGUCACAUUGGCGUCAGCGCCCGUCUUCCUCUUAAAGAUCCAUUUGUUCUGAAUAGCCUUGCGGCCCUCAGGUAGUUCCUCCAAAGUCCACACUUUGUUUCAUACAUGGAUCCUAUCUCGGACUUCAUGGCUUCUAGCCAUUUGUUGGAAUCUGGGCCCACCAUUGCUUCUUCAUAAUUUGCAGGUUCAUUGUNNNNNNNNNNNNNNNNNNNNNNNNNNNNNNNNNNNNNNNNNNNNNNNNNNNNNNNNNNNNNNNNNNNNNNNNNNNNNNNNNNNNNNNNNNNNNNNNNNNNAACGUAACUGGGUGACUAUAAAGAUGCUCUACAGGUAUCUCCGAAGGUGUUAGUUGAGUUAGUAUGGAUCGAGACUGGGAUUUGUCACUCCGUGUGACGGAGAGGAAUCUCGGGGCCCACUCGGUAAUACAACAUCACACACAAGCCUUGCAAGCAAUGUGACUUAGUGUAAGUUGCGGUAUCUUGUAUUAUGGAACGAGUAAAGAGACUUGCGGGUAAACGAGAUUGAAAUAGGUAUGCGGAUACUGACGAUCGAAUCUCGGGCAAGUAACAUACCGAAGGACAAAGGGAAUGACAUACGGGAUUAUAUGAAUCCUUGGCACUGAGGUUCAAACGAUAAGAUCUUCGUAGAAUAUGUAGGAUCCAAUAUGGGCAUCCAGGUCCCGCUAUUGGAUAUUGACCGAGGAGUCUCUCGGGUCAUGUCUACAUAAUUCUCGAACCCGCAGGGUCUGCACACUUAAGGUUCGACGUUGUUUUAUGUGUAUUUGAGUUAUAUGGUUGGUUACCGAAUGUUGUCCGGAGUCCCGGAUGAGAUCACAGACGUCACGAGGGUUUCCGGAAUGGUCCAGAAACGAAGAUUGAUAUAUAGGAUGACCUCAUUUGAUUACCGGAAGGUUUUCGGAGUUACCGGGAAUGUACCGGGAAUGACGAAUGGGUUCCGGNNNNNNNNNNNNNNNNGUUUUCGGAGUUACCGGGAAUGUACCGGGAAUGACGAAUGGGUUCCGGAUGUUCACCGGGGGGGCAACCCACCUCGGGGAAGCCCAUAGGCCUUGGGGGUGGCGCACCAGCCCUUAGUGGGCUGGUGGGACAGCCCAAGAAGGCCCUAUGCGCCAUAGGAAGAAAAUCAAAGAGAAAAGAAAAAAAAAGGAGGAGGUGGGAAAGGGAAGAAGGACUCCACCUUCCAAACCAAGUUGGAUUCGGUUUGGGAGGGGAGAACUUCCCCCCUUGGCUCGGCCGACCCCCUUGGGGGUCCUUGAGCCCCAAGGCAAGGCUCCCCCUCUUCCCCCUAUAUAUACGGAGGUUUUAGGGCUGAUUUGAGACGACUUUUCCACGGCAGCCCGACCACAUACCUCCACGGUUUUUCCUCUAGAUCGCGUUUCUGCGGACCUCGGGCGGAGCCGUGCUGAGAUAAGAUCACCACCAACCUCCGGAGCACUGUCACGCUGUCGGAGAACUCCUCUACCUCUCCGUCUAUCUUGCUGGAUCAAGAAGGCCGAGAUCUUCGUCGAGCUGUACGUGUGCUGAACGCGGAGGUGCCGUCCGUUCGGCACUAGAUCGUGGGACUGAUCGUGGAACUGAUCGCGGGACGGUUCGCGGGGCGGAUCGAGGGACGUGAGGACGUUCCACUACAUCAACCGCGUUCACUAACGCUUCUGCUGUACAGUCUACAAGGGUAUGUAGAUCACAUAUCCCCUCUCGUACAUGGACAUCACCAUGAUAGGUCUUCGUGCGCGUAGGAAAUUUUUUGUUUCCCAUGCGACGUUCCCCAACAGUGGCAUCAUGAGCUAGGUUCAUGCGUAGAUGUCUUCUCGAGUAGAACACAAAAGUUUUUGUGGGCGGUGAUGUGCGUUUUGCUGCCCUCCUUAGUCUUUUCUGGAUUCCACGGUAUUGUUGGAUUGAAGCGGCUUGGACCGACAUUACUCGUACGCUUACGAGAGACUGGUUUCAUCGCUACGAGUAACCCCGUUGCUCAAAGAUGACUGGCAAGUGUCAGUUUCUCCAACUUUAGUUGAAUCGGAUUUGACUGAGGAGGUCCUUGUAUAAGGUUAAAUAGCAAUUCAUAUAUCUCCGUUGUGGUGUUUGCGCAAGUAAGAUGCGAUCCUACUAGAUACCCAUGGUCACCACGUAAAACAUGCAACAACAAAAUUAGAGGACGUCUAACUUGUUUUUGCAGGGUAUGCUUGUGAUGUGAUAUGGCCAACGAUGUGAUGUGAUAUAUUGGAUGUAUGAGAUGAUCAUGUUGUAAUAGAUAAUAUCGACUUGCACGUCGAUGGUACGGCAACCGGCAGGAGCCAUCAGGUUGUCUUUAAACUAACGUUUGUGCUUGCAGAUGCGUUUACUAUUUUGCUAGGAUGUAGCUUUAGUAGUAAUAGCAUGAGUAGCAUGACAACCCCGAUGGCGACACGUUGAUGGAGAUCAUGAUGAUGGAGAUCAUGAUGUGACGCCGGUGACAAGAAGAUCGUGCCGGUGCUUUGGUGAUGGAGAUCAAGAAGCACGUGAUGAUGGCCAUAUCAUGUCACUUAUGAAUUGCAUGUGAUGUUAAUCCUUUUUUGCACCUUAUCUUGCUUAGAACGACGGUAGCAUUAUGAGGUGAUCUCUCACUAAAAUUUCAAGACGAAAUUGUGUUCUCCCCGACUGUGCACCGUUGCGACAGUUCUUCGUUUCGAGACACCACGUGAUGAUCGGGUGUGAUAGACUCAACGUUCACAUACAACGGGUGCAAAACAGUUGCACACGCGGAACACUCGGGUUAAGCUUGACGAGCCUAGCGUGUGCAGACAUGGCCUCGGAACACAUGAGACCGAAAGGUCGAGCAUGAAUCGUAUAGUUGAUAUGAUUAGCAUAGAGAUGCUUACCACUGAAACUAUUCUCAACUCACGUGAUGAUCGGACUUGAGAUAGUGGAUUUGGAUCAUGUACCACUCAAAUGACUAGAGAGAUGUACUUUUUGAGUGGGAGUUCUUAAGUCAUAUGAUUAAUUGAACUAAUUGUCAUGAACAUAGUCUAAUGGUCUUUGCGAAUUACGAUGUAGCUUGCGCUAUAGCUCUACUGUUUUUAUAUGUUCCUAGAGAAAAUUUAGUUGAAAGUUGAUAGUAGCAAACUUUGCACAGGAUUGUCCUCGUUGCUGCGCAGAAGGCUUAUGUCCUUAAUGCACCACAAGGUGUGCUGCACCUCGAGCGUCGUCUGUGGAUGCUGUGAACAUCCGACAUACACGUUUCUGAUAACUACACGAUAGUUCAGUGCAAAAUACUUAAUGGCUUAGAAGCAAGGCGCCGAAGACGUUUUGAGACGUCACGGAACAUAAGUGAUGUUCUAAAGAGAUGAAAUUGUGAUUUCAUGCUUGUGCCCUUGUUAAGAGGUACGAGACCUCCGACAAGAUUCUUUGUCCACAAAGUAAAGGAGAAAAGCUCAAUCAUUGAGCGUGUGCUCAGAUUGUCUGAGUACGACAAUCGCUUGAAUCAAGUGGGAGUUAAUCUUCCAGAUGAGAUAGUGAUGGUUCUCCAAAAUCACUGCCACCAAGCUGUGAGAGCUUCGUGAUGAACUAUAACAUAUCAAGGAUAGAUACAAUGAUCCUUGAGCAAUUCGCGAUGUUUGACACUGCGAAAGUAGAAAUCAAGAAGAAGCAUCAAUAGUUGAUGGUUAGUAAAACCACUAAGUUUCAAGAAAGGCAAGGGCUAGAAGGGAUACUUCGUGAAACGGCAACAGUUGCUGCACUAAUGAAGAGACCCAAGAUUAAACCCAAACCCGAGACUAAGUGCUUCUGUAAUGAGGGGAACAGUCACUGAGGCGGAGCAACUCUAGAUACUUGGUAGAUAAGAAGGCUGGCAAAAGUCGAAAGAAGUAUAUUUGAUAUACAUGAUGUUGAUGUGUACUUUACUAGUACUCCUAGUAGCACGAGGGUAUUGGAUACCGGUUCGGUUGCUAAGUGAUUAGUAACACGAAAUGAAAGCUACGGCAUAAACGGAGACUAGCUAAAGGCGAGGUGACGAUACGUGUUGGAAGUGUUUCCAAGGUUGAUAUGAUCGAACGUCGCACGCUCCCUCUACCAUCGGGAUUGGUGUUAAACCUAAAUAAUUGUUAUUUGGUGCUUGCGUUAAGCAUGAACAUGAUUGGAUCGUGUUUAUUGCAAUAUGAUUAUUCAUUUAAAGAGAAUAAUGGUUACUCUAUUUUCUUGAAUAAUCACCUUCAAUGGUUUAUUGAAUCUCGAUUGUAGUGUUACACAUGUUCAUGAUAUUGGUGCCAAAAGAUACGAGGUAAUGAUGAUAGUACCACUUACUUGUGGCACUGCCGCUUGAGUCAUGUUGGUAUAAAUUGCAUGAAGAGGCUCCAUGCUGAUGGAUCUUUAUACUCACUUGAUUUUGAAUCACUAGUGACAUGCAAAUCAUACCACAUGAGCAAAGCCUUGUUUUCAUUGAGAUGAAACAAGAUAGUAACUUGUUGGAACUGAUGCAUUUUGAUGUAUGUAGUCCAAUGGGUGCUGAGGCACGCAGUGGAUGUCAUUAUGUUCUUACUUCAAUGACGAUUUGAGUAGAUACAAGAGUAUUUACUUAAUGAAUCACAAGUCUGAAAUAUUGAAAAGUUCACUUAUGUUUCGGAGUGAAGUUCGUCGUAACAAGAGGAUAAAUUGUCUACGAUAUGAUCAUAGAAAUGAAUAUCUGAGUUACGAGUUUUGGUACGCAGUUAAGACAAUGUGGAAAUUGUUUCGCAGUUCAUGCCACCUGGAACAUCAUAGUGUGAUGAUGUGUCUGAACGUCAUAGCCACGCAUUAUUUGGUAUGGUGCAUGCUAUGAUGUCUCUUAUCGAAUUACCACUAUCGUUUAUGGGUUAUGCAUUAGAGACAACCGCAUUCACUUUAAAUAGGGCACCGCGUAUUUCCGUUGAGAUGACACAGUGUAGACUGAGGUUUAGAGAAAUCUAAACUGUCGUUUCUUGAAAGUUUGGGGCUUCGACACUUAUGUGAAAAAGUUUCAGUCUUGUAAGCUCGAACCCAAAGCGGAUAAAUGCAUCUUCAUAGGAUAUCCAAAACAGUUGGGUACAUCUCCUAUCUCAGAUCCGAAAGCAAAGUGUUUGUUUCUAGAAACGGAUCCUUUCUCUAGGAAAGGUUUCUCUCGAAAGAAUUGAGUGGGAGGGUGGUAGAACUUGAUGAGGUUAUUGAACCAUCACUUCAACCAGUGUGUAGCAGGGCGCAGGAAGUUGUUCCUGUGGCGCCUACACCAAUUGAAGUGGAAGCUGAUGAUGGUGAUCAUUGAGCAUCGGAUCAAGUUACUACAAUCCUCGUAGGUUGACAAGGUCACGUACUACUGCAGAGUGGUACGGUAACCCAGUCUUGGAAUUCAUGUUGUUGAGCAACAGUGAACCUACGAGUUAUGAAGAAAGCAAUGGUGGGCCCGGAUUCCGACAAAUGGCUGGAGGCCAUGAAAUCCGAGAGAGGAUCCAUGUAUGAAAACAAAGUGUAGACUUUGGAAGAACUACUUGAUGGUCGUAGGACUAUUGAGUAAAGAUGGAUCUUUAAAAGGAAGACAGACGAUGAUAGUGAUAAGUCACUAUUAAGAAAAGCUCGACUUGUCGCAAAGAUGUUUCCGACAAGAUCAAACAGUUGACUAUGAUGAGACUUUCUCACUCGUAGCGAUGCUAAAAGUCUGUUAGAAUUAUGUUAGUAGUUGAUGCAUUAUUUAUGAAAUAUUGCAUGUAGGAUGUCAAAACAUUGUUUCCUCGACGGUUUCCUUGAGCAAACAUUGUAUGAGAUACAACCAUGAGGUUUUGUCGAUCCUAAAGAUACUAGCAAGUAUGCAAGCUCCAGCGAUCCUUAAAUGGACUGGUGCAAGCAUCUCGGAGUUGGAAUAUACACUUUGAUGAGAUGAUCAAGGAUUUUGGGUUUGUACAAGGUUUAUGAGAAACUUGUAUUUCCAAAGAAGUGAGUGGGAGCACUAUAGAAUUUGUGAUAAGUAUAUGUGGUUGACAUAUUGUGGAUCAGAAGUAAUGUAGAAUUUCUGUAAAGCAUACAAGGUUGUUUGAAAGGAGUUUUCAAAGGAAUACCUGGAUUGAGCUACUUGAACGUUGAGCAUCAAAUAUCUAUGUAGAUAGAUCGAAAGCGCUUAAUGGAAGUUUCAACAAGAUUCAUGCCUUGACAAGUUUUGAAGGAGUUCAAAAUAGAUCAGCAAAGAAGGAGUUCUUGGUUGCGUUGUAAGGUGUGAAUUUGAGUAAGACUUAAAACCUGACCACGGCAGAAUAAAGAGAAUAGACGAAGGUCGUCUUCUAUGCCUUAGCCGUAGACUCUAAAGUAUGCCAUGCUGAGUACCGCACCUGAUGUGUGCCUUGCAGCAAGUCUGUUGAGAGGUACAGAGAGUGAUCCAUGAUUGAAUCACUAGCAGCGGUCAAAUUUUAUCCUUAGUAACUGAUGGACUAAGGAUUUUUUCUCGAUUAUGGAGGUGGUUAAAGAGUUUGUCGUAAAGGGUUACGUCGAUGUAAGCUUUGACACUAAUCCGAAUAACUAUGAGUAGUGAAACGGAUUCGUAUAGUAGAGUAGAUAUUUGGAGUAUUUCCGAAUAGCACAUAGUAGCAGCAUCUAUAAGAUGACAUAAAGAUUUGUAAAGAACACACGGAUCUGAAAAUUUCAGAACCGUUGACUAAAACCUCUCUCAUGAGCAAGACAUGAUCAGACCCCAUAACUAUAUGGGUGUUGGAUUCGUUGGAAUCACAUGGUGAUGUGAACUAGAUUAUUGACUCUAGUGCAAGUGGGAGACUGUUGGAAAUAUGCCCUAGAGGCAAUAAUAAAUUAGUUAUUAUUAUAUUUCUUUGUUCAUGAUAAUCGUUUAUUAUCCAUGCUAUAAUUGUAUUGAUUGGAAACACAAUACUUGUGUGGAUACAUAGACAAAACACUGUCCCUAGUAAGCCUCUAGUUGACUAGCUCGUUGAUCAAAGAUGGUCAAGGUUUCCUGACCAUGGGCAAGUGUUGUCACUUGAUAACGGGAUCACAUCAUUAGGAGAAUCAUGUGAUGGACUAAGACCCAAACUAAUAGACGUAGCAUGUUGAUCGUGUCAUUUUGUUGCUACUGUUUUCUGCGUGUCACGUAUUUGUUCCUAUGACCAUGAGAUCAUAUAACUCACUCACACCGGAGGAAUGCUUUGUGUGUAUCAAACGUCGCAACGUAACUGGGUGACUAUAAAGAUGCUCUACAGGUAUCUCCGAAGGUGUUAAUUGAGUUAGUAUGGAUCGAGACUGGGAUUUGUCACUCCGUGUGAUGGAGAGGAAUCUCGGGGCCCACUCGGUCAUACAACAUCACACACAAGCCUUGCAAGCAAUGUGACUUAGUGUAAGUUGCGGGAUCUUGUAUUACGGAACGAGUAAAGAGACUUGCCGGUAAACAAGAUUGAAAUAGGUAUGCGGAUACUGAUGAUCGAAUCUCGGGCAAGUAACAUACCGAAGGACAAAGGGAAUGACAUACGGGAUUAUAUGAAUCCUUGGCACUGAGGUUCAAACGAUAAGAUCUUCGUAGAAUAUGUNNNNNNNNNNNNNNNNNNNNNNNNNNNNNNNNNNNNNNNNNNNNNNNNNNNNNNNNNNNNNNNNNNNNNNNNNNNNNNNNNNNNNNNNNNNNNNNNNNNNCAUCCAUGCCUAUUAGAUGCUAGUGCCUCGGCCCCCUCCGCCUCUUCAACAAGCUUACCUCGCCGUGCGUGGUCCUGCUCUACCCGCCCCGCUGAUGGUUGGCGGCUACCCUGCUGCUCUGAUGCCUUCCUACGGAGGGCCCCCUACGGCGGGGCCUCCCCACAGCAGGCGCCUUCGCCGUGAGAUCCUGCUCUUUUGGCAGCGCUGCACUCGCGCCCCCCUCCCCGAGCAACUAUGGGGGCGGCGGCGACUGGUACAUGGACUCGGGUGCCACUGCUCACAUGACCUCUCAUACCGGUAACCUUAUCUCCUCUACUCCAGUUCAUACUCCUACUUGUAUCACCGUUGGUAAUGGUUCAUCUUUACCCAUCACACAUAUAGGGCAUACAUCGUUUCCCUCUUCAUCUACACCUAUCAACAUGUCUAAUGUUCUUGUUUCUCCCGAAUUAGUCACGAAACUUUGUUCUGUUCGUUGCCUUGCUCGUGAGAAUCCUCUUACUGUUGAAUUUGACGUUGUCGAUUUUACUGUGAAGGAUGCCCCUACCCGGAUGGUACUGCACCGAUGUGAUAGCUCUCAGGAUCUCUACCCGGUGCAUCCCUCCGCCGCUGCCUCCACCCGCCCCGUCUCCCUCGCCGCUGGUGUCGACCUUUGGCAUGCUCGCCUGGGCCAUCCUGUUGGAAUUAUGCCCUAGAGGCAAUAAUAAAUAUAGUUAUUAUUAUAAUUCCUGUAUCAAGAUAAUCGUUUAUUAUCCAUGCUAUAAUUGUAUUGAAUGAAGACUCAUUUACAUGUGUGGAUACAUAGACAAAACACCGUCCCUAGCAAGCCUCUAGUUGGCUAGCCAGUUGAUCAAAGAUAGUCAGUGUCUUCUGAUUAUGAACAAAGUGUUGUUGCUUGAUAACUGGAUCACGUCAUUAGGAGAAUCACGUGAUGGACUAGACCCAAACUAAUAGACGUAGCAUGUUGAUCGUGUCAUUUUGUUGCUACUGUUUUCUGCGUGUCAAGUAUUUAUUCCUAUGACCAUGAGAUCAUAUAACUCACUGACACCGGAGGAAUGCUUUGUGUGUAUCAAACGUCGCAACGUAACUGGGUGACUAUAAAGAUGCUCUACAGGUAUCUCCGAAGGUGUUAGUUGAGUUAGUAUGGAUCAAGACUGGGAUUUGUCACUCCGUGUGACGGAGAGGUAUCUCGGGGCCCACUCGGUAAUACAACAUCACACACAAGCCUUGCAAGCAAUGUAACUUAGUGUAAGUUGCGGGAUGUUGUAUUACGGAACGAGUAAAGAGACUUGCCGGUAAACGAGAUUGAAAUAGGUAUGCGGAUACUGACGAUCGAAUCUCGGGCAAGUAACAUACCGAAGGACAAAGGGAAUGACAUACGGGAUUAUAUGAAUCCUUGGCACUGAGGUUCAAACGAUAAGAUCUUCAUAGAAUAUGUAGGAUCCAAUAUGGGCAUCCAGGUCCCGCUAUUGGAUAUUGACCGAGGAGUCUCUCGGGUCAUGUCUACAUAAUUCUCGAACCCGCAGGGUCUGCACACUUAAGGUUCGACGUUGUUUUAUGCGUAUUUGAGUUAUAUGGUUGGUUACCGAAUGUUGUUCGGAGUCCCGGAUGAGAUCAUGGACGUCACGAGGGUUUCCAGAAUGGUCCGGAAACGAAGAUUGAUAUAUAGGAUGACCUCAUUUGAUUACCGGAAGGUUUUCGGAGUUACCGGGAAUGUACCGGGAAUGACGAAUGGGUUCCGGGAGUUCACCGGGGGGGCAACCCACCCCGGGGAAGCCCAUAGGCCUUGAGAGUGGCACACCAGCCCUUAGUGGGCUGGUGGGACAGCCCAAAAGGGCCCUAUGCGCCUAGGAAAGAAAAUCAAAGAGAAAAGAAAAAAAGGGAGGUGGGAAGGGAAGGAAGGACUCCCACCCACCAAACCAAGUCCAACUCGGUCUGGGGGGGAGCCUUCCCCUUUGGACUCGGCCGACCCCCUUGGGGCUCCUUGAGCCCCAAGGCAAGGUCCCCUCCCUCCCACCUAUAUAUACGGAGGUUUUAGGGCUGAUUUGAGACGACUUUUCCACGGCAGCCCGACCACAUACCUCCACGGUUUUUCCUCUAGAUCGCGUUUCUGCGGAGCUCGGGCGAAGCCCUGCUGAGACAAGGUCAUCACCAACCUCCGGAGCGCCGUCACGCUGCCGGAGAACUCUUCUACCUCUCCGUCUCUCUUGCUGGAUCAAGAAGGCCGAGAUCAUCGUCGAGCUGUACGUGUGCUGAACGCGGAGGUGUCGUCCGUUCGGUACUAGAUCGUGGGACUGAUCGCGGGAUUGUUCGCGGGGCGGAUCGAGGGAUGUGAGGACGUUCCACUACAUCAACCGUGUUCACUAACGCUUCUGCUGUACGAUCUACAAGGGUACGUAGAUCACUCAUCCCCUCUCGUAGAUGGACAUCACCAUGAUAGGUCUUCGUGCGCGUAGGAAAUUUUUUGUUUCCCUUGCGACGUUCCCCAACAGUGGCAUCAUGAGCUAGGUUCAUGCGUAGAUGUCUUCUCGAGUAGAACACAAAAGUUUUUGUGGGCGGUGAUGUGCGUUUUGCUGCCCUCCUUAGUCUUUUCUUGAUUCUGCGGUAUUGUUGGAUUGAAGCGGCUUGGACCGACAUUACUCGUAUGCUUACGAUAGACUGGUUUCAUCGCUACGAGUAACACCGUUGCUCAAAGAGGACUGGCAAGUUUCGGUUUCUCCAACUUUAGUUGAAUCGGAUUUGACCGAGGAGGUCCUUGGAUGAGGUUAAAUAGCAACUCAUAUAUCUCCGUUGUGGUGUUUGCGUAAGUAAGAUGCGAUCCUACUAGAUACCCAUGGUCACCACGUAAAACAUGCAACAACAAAAUUAGAGGACGUCUAACUUGUUUUUGCAGGGUAUGGUUGUGAUGUGAUAUGGCCAACGAUGUGAUGUGAUAUAUUGGAUGUAUGAGAUGAUCAUGUUGUAAUAGCCAAUAUCGACUUGCACGUCGAUGGUACGGCAACCGGCAAGAGCCAUGUGGUUGUCUUUACACUAACGUUUGUGCUUGCAGAUGCGUUUACUAUUUUGCUAGGAUGUAGCUUUAGUAGUAAUAGCAUGAGUAGCACGACAACCCCGAUGGCAACACGUUGAUGGAGAUCAUGGUGUGGCCCCGGUGACAAGAAGAUCGUGUCGGUGCUUUGGUGAUGGAGAUCAAGAAGCACGUGAUGAUGGCCAUAUCAUGUCACUUAUGAAUUGCAUGUGAUGUUAAUCCUUUUAUGCACCUUAUUUUUCUUAGAACGACGGUAGCAUUAUGAGGUGAUCUCUCACUAAAAUUUCAAGACGAAAUUGUGUUCUCCCCGACUGUGCACCGUUGCUACAGUUCGUCGUUUCGAGACACCACGUGAUGAUCGGGUGUGAUAGACUCAACGUUCACAUACAACGGGUGCAAAACAGUUGCGCACGCGGAACACUCGGGUUAAGCUUGACGAGCCUAGCAUGUGCAGACAUGGCCUCGGAACACAUGAGACCGAAAGGUCGAGCAUGAAUCGUAUAGUUGAUAUGAUUAGCAUAGAGAUGCUUACCACUGAAACUAUUCUCAACUCACGUGAUGAUCGGACUUGAGAUAGUGGAUUUGGAUCAUGUACCACUCAAAUGACUAGAGAGAUGUACUUUUUGAGUGGGAGUUCUUAAGUCAUAUGANNNNNNNNNNNNNNNNNNNNNNNNNNNNNNNNNNNNNNNNNNNNNNNNNNNNNNNNNNNNNNNNNNNNNNNNNNNNNNNNNNNNNNNNNNNNNNNNNNNNAUAGAGAUGUUGGAGAGCAUAAAGGCCUAUUUGAACAAGAGUUUUUCAAUGAAGGACCUUGGAGAAGCUGCAUACAUAUUAGGCAUCAAGAUCUAUAGAGAUAGAUCGAGACGCCUCAUAGGUCUUUCGCAAAGUACAUACCUUGACAAGAUAUUGAAGAAGUUCAAUAUGGAAAACUCAAAGAAAGGGUUCAUGCCAGUUUUGCAAGGUAUGAGAUUGAGUAAGACUCAGUCGCCGACCACGGCAGUAGAUAGAGAGAAGAUGAGUUAUGUCCCCUACGCUUCAGCCGUAGGUUCUCUUAUGUAUGCCAUGUUGUGUACCAGACCUGAUAUAAACCUUGCCAUAAGUUUGGUAGGGAGGUACCAAAGUGAACCCGGUAUGGAACACUGGACAACGGUCAAGAAUAUCCUUAAGUACCUGAAAAGGACUAAGGAAAUGUUUCUCGUUUAUGGAGGUGACGAAGAGCUCGUCGUAAAGGGUUACGUCGACGCUAGCUUUGACACAGAUCCGGAUGACUCUAAGUCACAGACCGGAUACAUAUAUGUUUUGAAUGGUGGGGCAGUGAGCUGGUGCAGCAGCAAGCAAGAAGUCGUGGCAGCAUCUACAUGUGAAGCGGAGUACAUAGCUGCUUCAGAAGCAGCUCACGAAGGAAUUUGGAUGAAGGAGCUCAUCACCAACCUUGGAGUGGUUCCAAGCUCGUCGGGUCCAAUGACACUCUUCUGUGAUAACACUGGGGCCAUUGCCAUAGCCAAGCAGCCCAGGUUUCACCGGAAGACAAAGCACAUCAAACGCCGCUACAACUCCAUCCAAGACCAUGUCCAGAGUGGAGUAAUAGAGAUUUGUAAAGUACACACGGAUCUGAAUGUUGCAGACCCUUGACUAAACCUCUUCCACGAGAAAAACAUGAUCAACACCAUAAUGCUAUGGGUGUUCGCUACAUCACAAUGUAACUAGAUUAUUGACUCUAGUGUAAGUGGGAGACUGUUGGAAAUAUGCCCUAGAGGCCAUAAUAAAAUGGUUGUUAUCAUAUUUCCUUGUUCAUGAUAAUCGUCUAUUGUUCAUGCUAUAAUUGUAUUAACAGGAAAGAGUAAUACAUGUGUGAAUAAAUAGAUCACAAUGUGUCCCUAGCAAGCCUCUAGUUGGCUAGCUCGUUAGUCAAUAGAUGAUCAUGGUUUCCUGGUCAUGGGCAUUAGAUGUCAUUGAUAACGGGAUCACAUCAUUGAGAGAAUGAUGUGAUGGACAAGACUCAAUCCUAAGCGUAGCACUAGAUCGUAUUGUUCGUAUGCUAAAGCUUUUCUAAUGUCAAAUGUCUUUUCCUUCGACCGUGAGAUUGUGCAACUCCCGGAUACCNNNNNNNNNNAGUGCUUUGGGUGUAUCAAACGUCACAACGUAACUGGGUGACUAUAAAGGUGCACUACGGGUACCUCUGAAAGUGUUUGUUGGGUUGGUACGAAUCGAGAUCGGGAUUUGUCACUCCGUGUGACGGAGAGGUAUCUCUGGGCCCACUCGGUAGAACAUCAUCAUGAGCUCAAUGUGACUAAGGAGUUAGUCACACGAUGACGUGCUACAGAACGAGUAAAGAGACUUACCGGUAACGAGAUUGAACAAGGUAUAGGUAUACCGACGAUCGAAUCUCGGGCAAGUUCUAUACCGACAAACAAAGGGAAUUGUAUACGGGAUUUAUUGAAUCCUUGACAUCGUGGUUCAUCUGAUGAGAUCAUCGUGGAGCAAGUGGGAGCCACCAUGGGUAUCCAGACCCCGCCGAUGGUUAUUGGCCGGAGAGGUGUCUCGGUCAUGUCUACGUGUCUCCCGAACCCGUAGGGUCUACACACUUAAGGUUCGAUGACACUAGGGUUAUAGGGAAUUGUUAUACGAGGUUAUCAAAAGUUUUUCGGAGUCCCGGGUGAGAUCCCGGACCUCACGAGGAGCUCCGGAAUGGUCUGGAGGUAAAGAUUGAUAUAUAGGACGGAUGGUUUCGGACACCGGAAGUGUUUCACGCGUCACCGAUAACGUACCGGGACCACCAGGACCACCGGAGGUGGCCUCGGGGGUCCACCGGAAGGGGGCAACGACCCCGGGAGGCUAGAUGGGCCAAGUGCGGGAGGGAACCAGUCCCUAGGUGGGCUGGUGCGCCCCCCACACUCAGCCCAAGGCGCAGGAGGUGGAGAGGGGGGAAACCCUAGGCGCUGGUGGGCCUAAGGCCCACCUAGGGGUGCGCCACCCCUCCCCCUUGCCAUGGCCGCCACACCUCCCAUCUGGGGGGGGGCUGCCGCACCACCUAGGGUGGGAACCCUAGGGGUGGCACCCCCCUCCCCUCCUCCUAUAUAUAGUGGGCACUUUUGGGCUUUUGGGCACACAGUUUUCCCUCUCCCUCGGCGCAGCCCUGCUCUUCUUUCUCCUCCUCUCUGCCGGUGCUUGGUGAAGCCCUGCCGGGAGACCUCGUCUCUCCAUCGACACCACGCUGUCGUGCUGCUAGAGAUCUUCCCCAACCUCUCCCUCCUCCUUGCUGGANNNNNNNNNNNNNNNNNNNNNNNNNNNNNNNNNNNNNNNNNNNNNNNNNNNNNNNNNNNNNNNNNNNNNNNNNNNNNNNNNNNNNNNNNNNNNNNNNNNNAAAGGUGCUCUACACGUAUCUCCGAAGGUGUCCCUUGAGUUAGCAUGGAUCAAGACUGGGAUUUGUCACUUCGUGUGACGGAGAGGUAUCUCGGGGCCCACUCGGUAAUACAACAUCACAUAUAAGCCUUGCAGGCAAUGUGGCUAAAGUGUUAGUCAUGGGAUGUUGUAUUACGAAACGAGUAAAGAGACUUGCCAGUAAUGAGAUUGAAAUAGGUAUAGGGAUACCGACGAUCAAAUCUCGGGCAAGUAACAUACCGAAGGACAAAGGGAAUGGUAUAUGGGAUUAUAUGAAUCCUUGGCACAGAGGUUCAACCGAUAAGAUCUUCGUAGAAUAUGUAGGAUCCAAUAUGGACAUAUAGGUCUCGUUGUUGUAUAUUGACCGGGGAGUGUGUGAGGUCAUGUCUGCAUAGUUCUCGAACCCGCAGGGUAUGCACACGUAAUGUUCGAUGACGUUUCGGUAUAGUUGAGUUAUAGGUGUUGGUGACUGAAGGUUUGUUCAGAGUCCCGGACGAGAUCAUGGAUGUCACGAGGGUUUCCGGAAUGGUCCAGAAACGAAGAUUGAUAUAUAGGAUUGUUUCAUUCGGCCUCCGAAAGAUUUCGGGCAUUGCCGGAAGUGUAUGAGGAGUGACGAAUGGGUUCCGGGUUUUUUACCGGGAGGGGCCACCCACCCGGGAGAGAACCUAAUAGCCCAUGGGUGGCGCACCAGCCCUUGGUGGGCUGUUGAGGCCAGCCCAAUAGGGCUAUUUCGGCUAAGGGAAAAAUCAAAGGAGAAAAGAGAAAAAAAAGAAGGACGUGGGAAGGAAGGAAGGAAGGGACUCCACCUUCCAAACCGACUUGGAGUGGGAGUCCCUCCUCCUCCCUUCGGCCGACGCUCUAGGGGCUCCCUUGAGCCCCAAGACUAGCCCCUCCCCUCCUCCUAUAUAUACUAGAUGUUUUAGGGUUUUUGAGACACAACUUUGCCACGUGCAACCCUAAACCUCUACUUCGUAGUUCUUCCUCUAGAUCGGUUUUCUGCGGAGGUCGGGCGGAGCCCUGCACGAAUAGAUCAUCACCAUCACCGGUGUGCCGUCUUGCUGCUGGAGAACUCAUCUACUUCCCUAUCUCUCUUGUUAUAUCAAGAAGGCUGAGACCGUCAUCGAGCUGUACGUGUGCUGAACGUGGAGGUGUCGUCCGUUCGGUAAUAGAUCGGGACGGGUCAUGGGACGACGGUGAUUUGAAUUACGAAGCUGUUCCACUACGUCAACCGCGUUUCUUAACGCUUCCGGCUUAGUGAUCUACAUGGGUAUGUGGAUCCGAUCUCCCUUUCGUAGAUGAACAUCACCAUGAUAGGUCUUCGUGUGGAUAGGAAAAAUUUUGUUUCCCAUGCAACGUUCCCCAACAUCUUCAUCUAUCAUCAGGGCUUCGGUACUACCUACCUUGUCCUCUACAUUGACGACAUCAUCCUGAUAGCAACCUCCUUAGUGCUGCUCCAGAAGAUCACUUCUCACCUCAGCGUCGAGUUUGCUCUCAAGGACUUGGGGGCUCUACAAUACUUCCUCGGCGUCACGGUCAUCUGCCGUCCUACUAGCUUAUUCCUGCAUUAGCAGAAGUACGCCUAUGAGAUUCUGGAACGAGCAAGCAUGCUUAAUUGCAAGACUUCGUCUACACCUAUUGAUACGAAUGCUAAGGUGUCCGCUAUCGAGGGAUCUCCAGCGUCCGAUGCCGCCUUCUAUAGUUCCAUUGCUAGUGCUCUUUAGUAUCUCAUGCUCACGCGACCAUAUCUGCAGUAUGCUGUGGGACAGGUGUGCCUCCACAUGCACUCUCCACAUGACACUCACUAGGCCCUGGUGAAACGCAUUCUGUGCUAUAUUCGUGGUACCAUGGCUACGGGUCUCACUCUGACAGCUUCCUCCACCACCGAGCUCUUCGCCUACUCUAACGCGGAUUCGGCGGGCUGCACGGACACUCGUCGCUCCACCUGUGGCUAUUGUGUCUACCUAGGGCCCUCUUCGAUAUUGUGGUCGUCUAAACGACAACUCACGUGUCCCGCUUGAGCGCUGAGGCGGAGUACCGCGUUGUGGCUAAUGCCGUUGCGUAGUGUUCCUGGUUACGACAGCUGUUUCAGGAGUUGUUGGUUGAGGUUCCUAAGGUCACACUUGUGUUCUGCGAUAAUGUGUCUGCCGUCUACCUCUCGGCAAAUCCGGUUCAUCAUUAACACACCAAACACAUUGAGCUCGAUAUUCACUUUGUUCGUGAGCAGGUCGUGCUUGGCCGCAUUCAGUCCUACAUGUGCCAACUGAUGAGCAGUUCGCCGAUGUCAUGACAAAGGGGCUACCAUCCUCGACCUUCAAGAGUUUUCGGUCCAGCCUCUGCGUCUCCGACGACACUUCGACUGUGUGUGUGUGGGGGGGGGGAUUGAACAUGUAUACUCUCCGUACACGUCUAUAGGUCUUGGUUUGUAUAUUGCACCUGUCACGUCUCCUUCUCAUUGUAAUUUGUAUGUAACUUGGGAGACAAGAAAUGAGUUGCACCCCUUGUACCUAUAUAUGUGCCUGGUACACCAUCAGUAAGAAUCAUCGAUGCAUGCAAUCCCUAACUUACAGUUUACAUGGUUAUCAUGUUUAUUCCAUCACGAGAGAAAGAUAAAUCCGGGUCCAAGGAAAACAAAUGUAAUCACAUGUGAGCUCUACUAAGCAAAAAAACAUUUUUUAUUUUUUAUUUUUUUUGAAUAACCACUUGUGCUCCAGAUGACCAGAACAUAGUCAACCCCACAGGUUCGAAAAAAUGACUAUCAUUUUCNNNNNNNNNNNNNNNNNNNNNNNNNNNNNNNNNNNNNNNNNNNNNNNNNNNNNNNNNNNNNNNNNNNNNNNNNNNNNNNNNNNNNNNNNNNNNNNNNNNNACCUUGUUAGCAUUCUUAGGAUCGACAAAACCUUCGGGUUGUAUCAUAUACAACUCUUCCUUAAGGAAACCGUUAAGGAAUGCCGUUUUGACAUCCAUCUGCGAGAUUUCAUAAUCGAAAAAUGCAGCUAUUGCUAACAUGAUUCUGACGGACUUAAGCAUCGCUACGGGUGAGAAUGUCUCAUCGUAGUCAACUCCUUGAACUUGUGAAAAACCCUUUGCCACAAGUCGAGCUUUAUAAACGGUCACAUUGCCGUCAGCCUCCGUCUUCCUCUUAAAGAUCCAUUUGUUCUGAAUAGCCUUGCAGCCCUCAGGUAGUACCUCCAAACUCCACACUUUGUUCUCAUACAUGGAUCCUAUCUCGGACUUCAUGGCUUCUAGCCAUUUGUUGGAAUCUGGGCCCACCAUUGCUUCUUCAUAAUUUGCAGCUUCAUUGUUGUCUAACAACAUGAUUGAUAAGACGGGAUUACCGUACCACUCUGGAGCAGCACGUGGUCUCGUCGACCUGCGUGGUUCGACAGAAACUUGAACUGGAGUUUCAUGAUCAUCAUCAUUNNNNNNNNNNNNNNNNNNNNNNNNNNNNNNNNNNNNNNNNNNNNNNNNNNNNNNNNNNNNNNNNNNNNNNNNNNNNNNNNNNNNNNNNNNNNNNNNNNNNUAACUGGGUGACUAUAAAGAUGCUCUACAGGUAUCUCCGAAGGUGUUAGUUGAGUUAGUAUGGAUCGAGACUGGGAUUUGUCACUCCGUGUGACGGAGAGGAAUCUCGGGGCCCACUCGGUAAUACAACAUCACACACAAGCCUUGCAAGCAAUGUNNNNNNNNNNAUUGAGUUAGUAUGGAUCGAGACUGGGAUUUGUCACUCCGUGUGAUGGAGAGGAAUCUCGGGGCCCACUCGGUCAUACAACAUCACACACAAGCCUUGCAAGCAAUGUGACUUAGUGUAAGUUGCGGGAUCUUGUAUUACGGAACGAGUAAAGAGACUUGCCGGUAAACAAGAUUGAAANNNNNNNNNNNNNNNNNNNNNNNNNNNNNNNNNNNUAUCUUGUAUUAUGGAACGAGUAAAGAGACUUGCGGGUAAACGAGAUUGAAAUAGGUAUGCGGAUACUGACGAUCGAAUCUCGGGCAAGUAACAUACCGAAGGACAAAGGGAAUGACAUACGGGAUUAUAUGAAUCCUUGGCACUGAGGUUCAAACGAUAAGAUCUUCGUAGAAUAUGUAGGAUCCAAUAUGGGCAUCCAGGUCCNNNNNNNNNNAACUUAGUGUAAGUUGCGGGAUGUUGUAUUACGGAACGAGUAAAGAGACUUGCCGGUAAACGAGAUUGAAAUAGGUAUGCGGAUACUGAUGAUCGAAUCUCGGGCAAGUAACAUACCGAAGGACAAAGGGAAUGACAUNNNNNNNNNNGCUCGGGUCAUGUCUACAUAGUUCUCUAACCCGCAGGGUCUGCACACUUAAGGUUUGACGUUGUUAUAUGCGUAUUUGAGUUAUAUGGUUGGUUGCCGAAUGUUGUUCGGAGUCCCGGAUGAGAUCACAAACGUCAUGAGGGUUUCCGGAAUGGUCCGGAAACGAAGAUUGAUAUAUAGGAUGACCUCAUUUNNNNNNNNNNCGUAUUUGAGUUAUAUGGUUGGUUACCGAAUGUUGUUCGGAGUCCCGGAUGAGAUCAUGGACGUCACGAGGGUUUCCAGAAUGGUCCGGAAACGAAGAUUNNNNNNNNNNUGUAUUUGAGUUAUAUGGUUGGUUACCGAAUGUUGUCCGGAGUCCCGGAUGAGAUCACAGACGUCACGAGGGUUUCCGGAAUGGUCCAGAAACGAAGAUUGAUAUAUAGGAUGACCUCAUUUGAUUACCGGAAGGUUUUCGGAGUUACCGGGAAUGUACCGGGAAUGACGAAUGGGUUCCGGAUGUUCACCGGGGGGGCAACCCACCUCGGGGAAGCCCAUAGGCCUUGGGGGUGGCGCACCAGCCCUUAGUGGGCUGGUGGGACAGCCCAAGAAGGCCCUAUGCGCCAUAGGAAGAAAAUCAAAGAGAAAAGAAAAAACAGGAGGAGGUGGGAAAGGGAAGAAGGACUCCACCUUCCAAACCAAGUUGGAUUCGGUUUGGGAGGGGAGACCUUUCCCCCUUGGCUCGGCCGACCCCCUUGGGGGUCCUUGAGCCCCAAGGCAAGGCUCCCCCUCUUCCCCCUAUAUAUACGGAGGUUUUAGGGCUGAUUUGAGACGACUUUUCCACGNNNNNNNNNNNNNNNNNNNNNNNNNNNNNNNNNNNNNNNNNNNNNNNNNNNNNNNNNNNNNNNNNNNNNNNNNNNNNNNNNNNNNNNNNNNNNNNNNNNNNNNNNNNNNNNNNNNNNNNNNNNNNNNNNNNNNNNNNNNNNNNNNNNNNNNNCCUCGGGCGGAGCCGUGCUGAGAUAAGAUCACCACCAACCUCCGGAGCACUGUCACGCUGUCGGAGAACUCCUCUACCUCUCCGUCUAUCUUGCUGGAUCAAGAAGGCCGAGAUCUUCGUCGAGCUGUACGUGUGCUGAACGCGGAGGUGCCGUCCGUUCGGCACUAGAUCGUGGGACUGAUCGUGGAACUGAUCGCGGGACGGUUCGCGGGGCGGAUCGAGGGACGUGAGGACGUUCCACUACAUCAACCGCGUUCACUAACGCUUCUGCUGUACAGUCUACAAGGGUAUGUAGAUCACAUAUCCCCUCUCGUACAUGGACAUCACCAUGAUAGGUCUUCGUGCGCGUAGGAAAUUUUUUGUUNNNNNNNNNNNNNNNNNNNNNNNNNNNNNNNNNNNNNNNNNNNNNNNNNNNNNNNNNNNNNNNNNNNNNNNNNNNNNNNNNNNNNNNNNNNNNNNNNNNNNNNNNNNNNNNNNNNNNNNNNNNNNNNNNNNNNNNNNNNNNNNNNNNNNNNNGUCUUCUCGAGUAGAACACAAAAGUUUUUGUGGGCGGUGAUGUGCGUUUUGCUGCCCUCCUUAGUCUUUUCUUGAUUCUGCGGUAUUGUUGGAUUGAAGCGGCUUGGACCGACAUUACUCGUAUGCUUACGAUAGACUGGUUUCAUCGCUACGAGUAACACCGUUGCUCAAAGAGGACUGGCAAGUUUCGGUUUCUCCAACUUUAGUUGAAUCGGAUUUGACCGAGGAGGUCCUUGGAUGAGGUUAAAUAGCAACUCAUAUAUCUCCGUUGUGGUGUUUGCGUAAGUAAGAUGCGAUCCUACUAGAUACCCAUGGUCACCACGUAAAACAUGCAACAACAAAAUUAGAGGACGUCUAACUUGUUUUUGCAGGGUAUGCUUGUGAUGUGAUAUGGCCAACGAUGUGAUGUGAUAUAUUGGAUGUAUGAGAUGAUCAUGUUGUAAUAGAUAAUAUCGACUUGCACGUCGAUGGUACGGCAACCGGCAGGAGCCAUCAGGUUGUCUUUAAACUAACGUUUGUGCUUGCAGAUGCGUUUACUAUUUUGCUAGGAUGUAGNNNNNNNNNNAUAUCGACUUGCACGUCGAUGGUACGGCAACCGGCAUGAGCCAUAGGGUUGUCUUUAUACUAACGUUUGUGCUUGCAGAUGCGUUUACUAUUUUGCUAGGAUGUAGCUUUAGUAGUAAUAGCAUGAGUAGCAUGACAACCCCGAUGGCGACACGUUGAUGGAGAUCAUGAUGAUGGAGAUCAUGAUGUGACGCCGGUGACAAGAAGAUCGUGCCGGUGCUUUGGUGAUGGAGAUCAAGAAGCACGUGAUGAUGGCCAUAUCNNNNNNNNNNCGACAACCCCGAUGGCAACACGUUGAUGGAGAUCAUGGUGUGGCCCCGGUGACAAGAAGAUCGUGUCGGUGCUUUGGUGAUGGAGAUCAAGAAGCACGUGAUGAUGGCCAUAUCAUGUCACUUAUGAAUUGCAUGUGAUGUUAAUCCUUUUAUGCACCUUAUUUUUCUUAGAACGACGGUAGCAUUAUGAGGUGAUCUCUCACUAAAAUUUCAAGACGAAAUUGUGUUCUCCCCGACUGUGCACCGUUGCUACAGUUCGUCGUUUCGAGACACCACGUNNNNNNNNNNAGUGGCACACCAGCCCUUAGUGGGCUGGUGGGACAGCCCAAAAGGGCCCUAUGCGCCUAGGAAAGAAAAUCAAAGAGAAAAGAAAAAAAAGGGAGGUGGGAAGGGAAGGAAGGACUCCCACCCACCAAACCAAGUCCAACUCGGUCUGGGGGGGAGCCUUCCCCUUUGGACUCGUCCGACCCCCUUGGGGCUCCUUGAGCCCCAAGGCAAGGUCCCCUCCCUCCCACCUAUAUAUACGGAGGUUUUAGGGCUGAUUUGAGACGACUUUUCCACGGCAGCCCGACCACAUACCUCCACGGUUUUUCCUCUAGAUCGCGUUUCUGCGGAGCUCGGGCGGAGCCCUGCUGAGAUAAGAUCACCACCAACCUCCGGAGCGCCGUCAUGCUGCCGGAGAACUCUUCUACCUCUCCGUCUCUCUUGCUGGAUCAAGAAGGCCGAGAUCUUCGUCGAGCUGUACGUGUGCUGAACGCGGAGGUGUCGUCCGUUCGGCACUAGAUCGUGGGACUGAUCGCAGGACGGUUCACGGGGCGGAUCGAGGGACAUGAGGACGUUCCACUACAUCAACCGCGUUCACUAACGCUUCUGCUGUACGGUCUACAAGGGUACGUAGAUCACAUAUCCCCUCUCGUCGAUGGACAUCACCAUGAUAGGUCUUCGUGUGCGUAGGAAAAUUUUUGUUUCCCAUGCGACGUUCCCCAACAGCUGCCCGGUACCAAUCCUGGUGAUUACAUGAAGCAUUCAGUAAUUUUUUAUAUAGCUGAGGUAACAAAUAAACAAACAUAUGAAUACGUGCUCGGGAAGCCUCUGGUCAAACCUGAUCAUCCUCCUCUAACACCGAGGAUGCACGAAUUGCAUGAGUGGUACAUGAACAUCUUCAGGGAGACUGGGAAAGACGCUAUCUAUAUGAGAGUGAAAAAAGAUCACGAUUUCAUUGGAACUUCAGUGCUGCUUGUUCAAUUUGAGGAGUUAUUUCAGUUAUACAAUCAACUGGCCUCGACAAACAAUUCAUGACUUCCUACUGUUUGUAAGUAUUACUUCUAUAAUUAAGUCUCUAGCUCAUCUCGUUCAUUUCAUGUAUAUAUAAUUAUCCUUACUAUAUAUAUUAUGCAGCUUCAAGAUCGUCGAAUUAAAAAAAGCAGGAAUCUUCGACGUUGGGUUCAUUAGCCCAGAAGCCGUAAAUGUAUUGUCGGUACGAAAUGAAACCAAAGAGACCGAGGUUAGCUUGCUAAACUCUUUGCUUGCAAUUCAAAACAAAAGGGAAAUACUCUUUCCUUACAACUUCAAGUGAGUGUUGCUGUAUUCUCUGUAUACUCGUUUCGCUUACUCGAGGUUAAGUAAAUGUAAUUGAUGAGUUAUAUAUGCGUGCGCAGUUACCACUUUAUUCUGCUAUCCAUUAAGCUUGACGGGGUAAAAGUAAUUGUCUUAGACUCGAGACGUAAAGAUCCCGAGGAUUAUGCGGACAUGACUGCAAUGCUCAAGAAGUAAGUUCAGUCAAUACCAGGACCAUACCGGCAUGCAACUUUCAUUAAUUUCCUGAUAUCAAGUAAUCAUUUUCCUUGUCUGGCAAGGUUUGGAAGAAGUUCACCUCAAAGUCUCCCGGUCUAAACAAAGAGUUGCAAUUUACGCACCCCCCCCCGGUAAGUAGUACUAUCUAGUUCCGUGCAUCUCUAAUUGAUUCAAAUUUUCAUCAAUAUAUCAUUACCAUGCUUGCUUAUCAGUUUGAUUGAACUCUAUUCUCAUAAAGUGCUUGUACCAGGUAGCUGGAACUGAAAAAUGUGCAUACUACGUAUGCGAGUUCAUUCGCCUCUCAACCUCUGGGCGAGGCAUCUCUGACAAACAAUUUGAAGUACGUAAAUAAUAUUCACAAUUUUAUUUUAUAUAUUACCAUCAAUUGUGUUGAGUUUUAUUCAUAUAUAUAUGCAUGUAUUGACCCCCUUCUUUAAAUUAGAUCUGAAAGAAGCGGGAUGAACCCCUAUCAGAUGAUGGCAUACGAGCAAUCCAAGAGGAAUUGGCGGGAUUCUUUCUUGACCACGUCAUACGGAGAAUACCAUGUGAGCUAUUUGUGAUUGAAUCUUAGGUAGAUGAUGUUAGGCAUUGUAAAAGAUGUUAGGGAUUGUAAAUGGUUUCCUUCAUUUUCUUAUUAGCUAGCGUCAUGUUCUCUCUAUAUGUAUAGUAGCUAGCGUCGACCAAGCACGGAGAAAGAGAGGACACUUCUCUCUAGUAGCUAGCUAACACAAUAAAAAACCACUAAAUUAACCCUCCACCCCCACCCCCAUUCAGAAAAAACAAAACCCCCAGCUCCGGCCAGAUGCUGACGCGUGGAUGCCAUGUUGUCCCGGUUAGUAUGACCAACCGGGACUAACGGCCCUCCUGCUCGGGCUCCCCGCAGCGGACACGUGGAGACCCUUCGGUCCCGGUUGGUAAGCGAACCGGGACUAAAGGUUUUGGGCUUUAGUCCCGACACUUUAGUCCCGGUUCCGGAACCGGGGCUAAUGAGCCUAUGGAACCGGGACAAAUGUGCCUUUUUCUACUAGUGGUAGUCAUCGUAAGCCUUUAAUCCCCCCAUAAUGCGGAAAAACAAUGGUUUUUUGCAUGCAAAAAACGGCGACGAAACCAGUGAUGAUCCAAAAAAGUUAGGUAUGGAGCAAAGUAGUCCUUCUAUAGUAGCCGUGCGCCGCAGACCCUAUCCCGAUUGAUCAUUCUUCUUUUUUUGAUUGAGCCCUUGAAAUUAGGAAUAUGCUCUGCCGGUCCAUUUACUCUUACAUGUUCAUGAGCAUGAUCAUGUCCAGUUCUUCGUGUGAAUUCAACGAAUCGAAGAACUCAUCUUCAAUCAUUUGAUCGAACUAUGUCAGUCCAUACUCCUCGUCCAACGAAGCAUCAGAAUUCAUUGUUUUUCCUAAAAAUCGCAAGAAACGGGCUGGACAAUGUAUCGCAAGGGCCAGCUCGAGAAUUGUCGGGCGUACCACAGUGGUGUCCGGGCCGGCAACGACGUCGUGGGCUGUGAGGAUUGAAUAGAGGAGUGUUGUGUCGAUGUUGUCGGCGCACAUGCUCCGCAACGGCGGAGCAGGUGAGAUACGUUGGGGAGGAGCAACAGAAGAUAGCAAAUGGAUGGAUGGGGUAGAUUUGAUGCAAUUUAUGAUGGGGUAGGCCUCUAGGGCGGACGCAUCCGGACGCCUUCCUUAUCCGUCUUUGAUUUGGUUGAUCAGCCCGGGUGUUUGAGGCGUUCACGUGAAUCAUAUUUUUGUGACCAGUCAAUGAUCAAACCGUAUGUGUGAAUGUUUGGAGCGGGUUUGAGAUGCUCGGCUUACCCGUCAGAAUGUCAUACCUUAUUUCUAUAUGUCUGUUCUUGCACGCCCAGUUACCGGUGAGAUUGAACGAUGUGCAAAUGAUACAGCAGGAUGUCUCGGUAGCUAAAAAGUAGGAUCUGAUGUGUGUUGUACUCCAAAUUCCGUGCGUACGUAGCGACGACGUAACGAGGAGCGUCCAAGCAAGAUCCAAUUGUUUGUAACGCGUAUAACCCUGCUUAGCACCUGGCCGUUGCCAAUAAUUUGAGUGUGGCAUGGUAGCUGUGGCUACCUGUCCUCGCCAGCAAAGCAUCUUCUGUUCAUGUCCAUUUGGAUGCUGAACGAUUGUCCAAUGCUAUGCUUUGGACAGUUGCGCAAGCUAGCUAGCUUCCUUAUAUUCAACAAUUAGCUGGUCAGCUGUUAAGAUGCUUUGGCUUAGUUAGGUUGCUGCAGCAUCCAGCUUCAUGGCUUUGUGCAAACGGUUUGUCAACUUGGAAUUCUUGUGGUUUUCUUUUGUAGGACGACGGAGGUUUUUGGGCGGCAAGAUAUAAGCGCCAGCUAGAACUUGGGACAUACUAGCAACGAACAAAAUCUGCUUGGGAAAUGAGUGUCGAAGCUUGGCUACAUCCUACAUGCUCGACGUAUAUUGUACCGCAUCAUGCACGUAUGGUGUGGCCCACACAUGCAUAUACACCGACAAAUGUACUCCCACUGACUGGUGCCCGGAUUCAGAAUACAGAAUACGAGGAUCCAGUGAGAUCCAAGUCCAGAGCUAGCGCGAGGACCAAACCACGGAUUACCCCGAUACGUCGGCCACCGCCCAAGAACUGGUCAUGUAGUACGAGUACACCUGUCGACCGCCGGCUGCAUACGGAUACGGCCACAUGCACCCGCGCGCGCCCAAGUUCCGCGGGAAACGGGCGUAUAACGGUCAGGUCUGGUCGGUCCUUGCCGUCACACGCCCAGCCGGCAGCGGGACGGGCGCGUCAAGGCGAUGACAGCUGGGGAAAAUCAAGCUCCGCGGAUCGCCCAACACCAGCCCAAUUGUCUAGUCGGCGAGCCAGCGCGCGCCUUUAAUUCCAUCGCCGAAAAUACGUAUCUGUUUAUUCAAGAAUUGUUUAGGAAAAAGUUGGGAACGGAAGAAAGAAACCGGCACCCGUAUCCUCCCCGCUGAGUAAUGCUACACCUACAAAGGCUUACUUAAAGAUUUUACGUACAAACUGAUGUGUAAGAUUGUGAUGGUUAUUGAGGGAUGAGGGGCCCCACCCUUACUGAAAAUCAUGGAAGGAGAGAAGAGUUAGUUUAAAAGGUUAAGUAAACUUUUGUAAGUUUUUAUUGAUCCUCCCCCGCCCUCGCACUCCUCACCCAUGUCACCGUCCGCCUUGACGCCGCCCGGUGUUAUCACGUGCGCCGCCACGCGCAGCGUCUACGUGGAGGCCACAGGCGCAGCGGAGCCGGCCGACUGGAAGCCGUAAAAGUGUUUUCUAGUAGGUGACCGGCGGCGAUGCCGUUCGUGCGCGCGGACGGACGCGCACCGGCCGUCGUGCCCGCCGCGCUCGCGCGCUGGCUCACGGGAUUCGCGAGCUCCGCGGGGGUGGGCCAGCGCGCGCAGCGCAAUCGCGCUGGGUGGGUCGAUCGGGGGCCCCUUGCCUGCUCCCCGCCAUGCGCCAUGUCGCCGUCAACGUACCGCUCAUGGGUUUCGUGCCCGGCCCAGUUUCGCAGCGCUCGCUUGCGACACGCGCUCUGUGAUCUCAGCCACUCCAUCCGGAUAUGGACACCCCCAGCGCUCGUCCGCUCACCUGCCCCUCCCAGCCUCGGGUAUUUGGGUAACCGCUACUACUUGUCAGGACCAUGCAAGCAAAACUGGAUUGGUUCAAGAUGGAUGAACCGCUGUUGAUAUCGAGAGCAGGCUUUGCCGUGAAUAUAUAUGGUUAGACGACGACGCUGCGAAGCUAUCUAUAAUAUGCAUCCACCGUUCGACCCUGCCAUAUCACUUCACCCCAUACUGUCACGCCAAAGCCGGCACCACCCCCAACCUACCACGUCUCCCCGCCCGCGCCCGCGCCAGCUCCGGCUUUGCCCAGGCACGUCCGUCGACACAAUUCCGAUAGUCCAGCCAGCCAGCCAUUCAUCCGCUGCGAUCUCUCUCCCUUAUUAGUACGCCCCCACCCUCUCCCUCUCCUGCCCACAGUCCCACUCCCACGACACCAACAGCUGCGCCAACAGCAACAGCCCAGCUCCCCACUACCAGACGUACCACGUACAGAGCUUAGCACCACCCAUGGCCGCGGAGGAGCCCAAGAAGGUGGAGGUGGAGGCGGCGCCGGAGCCGGAGCCCGCACCCCCGGCGGCGGAGCCUGAGGCCCCCGCCAAGGACGUCACCGAGGAGAAGGCCGUCAUCCCCGCGCCCGCGNNNNNNN